This 220-nucleotide ribosomal RNA is filed under the name uncultured eukaryote. RNAcentral describes it as "partial 18S ribosomal RNA". It matches the Rfam family "Eukaryotic small subunit ribosomal RNA", at positions 1457 to 1676 of the family's 1831-position model. The record is from RNAcentral.
CAGGUCUGUGAUGCCCUUAGAUGUUCUGGGCCGCACGCGCGCUACACUGACUGGUUCAUCGAGUUUACAACCUUGACCGAUAGGUCUGGGUAAUCUUUUGAAAGCCAGUCGUGCUGGGGAUAGAUCAUUGCAAUUAUUGAUCUUUAACGAGGAAUUCCUAGUAAACGCGAGUCAUCAACUCGCAUUGAUUACGUCCCUGCCCUUUGUACACACCGCCCGU